Molecule: ribosomal RNA, 253 nt
Filed under: uncultured bacterium
Lineage: Bacteria
Description: partial 16S ribosomal RNA
Rfam family: Bacterial small subunit ribosomal RNA
Source: RNAcentral
UACAGAGGUCUCAAGCGUUGUUCGGAUUCAUUGGGCGUAAAGGGUGCGUAGGUGGCAUGGGCAGUCGGAUGUGAAAUCCCGGGGCUCAACCCCGGAACUGCAUUCGAUACUGCCGCGCUAGAGUACUGGAGAGGAGAUUGGAAUUUACGGUGUAGCAGUGAAAUGCGUAGAUAUCGUAAGGAAGACCAGUGGCGAAGGCGGAUCUCUGGACAGUUACUGACACUGAGGCACGAAGGCCAGGGGAGCAAACGGG